This 404-nucleotide ribosomal RNA is filed under the name uncultured bacterium. RNAcentral's name for it is "partial 16S ribosomal RNA". It matches the Rfam family "Bacterial small subunit ribosomal RNA", at positions 28 to 526 of the family's 1533-position model. The record is from RNAcentral.
GACGAACGCUGGCGGCGUGCUUAACACAUGCAAGUCGAGCGGAGCGGCGAACGGGUGAGUAACGCGUGAGUAACUGCCCACCUCUCUGGGAUAACGGGUGGAAACGGCUGCUAAUACAGGAUAGUGGGGGAUGACUCGCGUCCUAUCAGCUUGUGGGUGGGGUAGUGGCCUACCAAGGCGACGACGGGGAGCCGGCCUGAGAGGGCGACCGGCCACAUUUGGCUGGGUUACGUGCCGAACGCCUACGGGAGGAAGCAGUGGGGAAUAUUGCACAAUGGGGGAAACCCUGAUGCAGCAACGCGCGUGCGGGAUGACGGUCUUCGGGUUGUAAACCGCUUUCAGCCAUGACGCGGUAGUGGCAGAAGAAGCACCGGCUAACUACGUGCCAGCAGCCGCGGUAAUUC